Molecule: ribosomal RNA, 498 nt
Filed under: uncultured bacterium
Lineage: Bacteria
Description: partial 16S ribosomal RNA
Rfam family: Bacterial small subunit ribosomal RNA
Source: RNAcentral
AUUGAACGCUGGCGGCAUGCCUUACACAUGCAAGUCGAACGGUAACAGGUCUUCGGAUGCUGACGAGUGGCGAACGGGUGAGUAAUACAUCGGAACGUGCCUAGUAGUGGGGGAUAACUACUCGAAAGAGUGGCUAAUACCGCAUGAGAUCUAAGGAUGAAAGCAGGGGAUCGCAAGACCUUGUGCUACUAGAGCGGCCGAUGGCAGAUUAGGUAGUUGGUGGGAUAAAAGCUUACCAAGCCGACGAUCUGUAGCUGGUCUGAGAGGACGAUCAGCCAAGCUGGGAGUGAGACACGGCCCAGACUCCUACGGGAGGCAGAAGUGGGGAAUUUUGGACAAUGGGCGCAAGCCUGAUCCAGCAAUGCCGCGUGCAGGAUGAAGGCCUUCGGGUUGUAAACUGCUUUUGUACGGAACGAAAAGCCCUGGGUUAAUACCCUGGGGUCAUGACGGUACCGUAAGAAUAAGCACCGGCUAACUACGUGCCAGCAGCCGCCGUAA